CGAGAAUACCCGGCGAAUUUAAGCAUAUUACUAACCGGAGGAAAAGAAACCAACAGGGGACGUCCUCAGUAGCGGCGAGCGAAGCGGACGAUGCCCAAACCGAACCGCGGUUCCCGAGGGGGCCGCGGAGUGUGGAGAGGAUGAGCUCGCGAGGGGGCGGGACGGGUUCCAAUCCGUCUGGAAGGGCGGAGGCACGGAGGGCGAUUCCCCGUACGUGCUCGGUCCGUCCCCGACGAGCGAACGCAUCGGAGAGUCGGGCCGCUUGAGAGUGCAGCCCGAAUGGGGUGAUAGGUCUCAUCCAAGGCUAAGUACGUGGGAGACGCCGAUAGCGAACAAGUACGGCGACGGAAAGGUGAAAAGAACCUCGAAAGGGGGGGUCAAAAGCGCUCGAAAUCGUAGAGGGG
Molecule: ribosomal RNA, 404 nt
Filed under: uncultured eukaryote
Lineage: Eukaryota
Description: eukaryotic LSU rRNA
Rfam family: Eukaryotic large subunit ribosomal RNA
Source: RNAcentral